This 877-nucleotide ribosomal RNA is filed under the name uncultured bacterium. RNAcentral describes it as "bacterial SSU rRNA". It matches the Rfam family "Bacterial small subunit ribosomal RNA", at positions 85 to 998 of the family's 1533-position model. The record is from RNAcentral.
AAUGCUCGGAGUGGCGGACGGGUGAGUAACGCGUGGAAAUCUACCUGGUAGUGGGGGAUAGCUUCUGGAAACGGAAGGUAAAACCGCAUAAGCCCUGAGGGGGAAAUAUUUAUAGCUAUCAGAUGAGUCUGCGUCCGAUUAGGUAGUUGGUGAGGUAAGGGCUCACCAAGCCGAUGAUCGGUAGCUGGUCUGAGAGGAUGAUCAGCCACAUUGGGACUGAGGCACGGCCCAAACUCCUACGGGAGGCAGCAGUGGGGAAUAUUGGACAAUGGGGGGAACCCUGAUCCAGCCAUGCCGCGUGAAUGAGAAGGCCUUAGGGUUGUAAAGUUCUUUUAUAAGGGAAGAUGAUGACGGUACCUUAUGAAUAAGCACCGGCAAACUUCGUGCCAGCAGCCGCGGUAAUACGAAGGGUGCAAGCGUUGUUCGGAUUUACUGGGCGUAAAGCGCACGCAGGCGGUUAUAUAAGUCAGCGGUGAAAUUCCGGAGCUCAACUCCGGCAUUGCCAUUGAUACUGUAUAGCUAGAGUGUAUGAGAGGAUGAUGGAAUAUCCAGUGUAGAGGUGAAAUUCGUAGAUAUUGGAUAGAACACCAGUGGCGAAGGCGAUCAUCUGGCGUACAACUGACGCUAAUGUGCGAAAGCGUGGGUAGCAAACAGGAUUAGAUACCCUGGUAGUCCACGCUGUAAACGAUGAGUGCUAGAUAUACGGUCUGUAAAGGACUUUGUGUCGGAGCUAACGCGUUAAGCACUCCGCCUGGGGAGUACGGUCGCAAGAUUAAAACUCAAAGGAAUUGACGGGGGCCCGCACAAGCGGUGGAGCAUGUGGUUUAAUUCGACGCAACGCGAAGAACCUUACCAGCUUUUGACAUGGACAUUGGGG